GGUCGUGAGGACGUACGUGUCCUUUCCUUCGGGACAGGGGUGACAGGUGGUGCAUGGUUGUCGUCAGCUCGUGUCGUGAGAUGUUGGGUUAAGUCCCGCAACGAGCGCAACCCUUACCUUCAGUAGCCAGCACGUAAAGGUGGGCACUCUGGAGGGACUGCCAGGGACAACCUGGAGGAAGGUGGGGAUGACGUCAAAUCAUCAUGCCCCUUAUGGCUUGGGCUACACACGUGCUACAAUGGCGUAAACAAAGGGAAGCAGCCCUGUGAAGGUGAGCAAACCCCAAAAAUAACGUCCCAGUUCGGAUUGUAGUCUGCAACCCGACUACAUGAAGCUGGAAUCGCUAGUAAUCGCGAAUCAGCAUGUCGCGGUGAAUACGUUCCCGGGUCUUGUACACACCGA
RNAcentral lists this ribosomal RNA (402 nucleotides) under uncultured bacterium. RNAcentral describes it as "bacterial SSU rRNA". It matches the Rfam family "Bacterial small subunit ribosomal RNA", at positions 997 to 1393 of the family's 1533-position model. The record is from RNAcentral.